GCAUCUAUGUUAGCAACAAGCUUUGCGCCACAGUGGCAUAAAUGUUAGCUUGUUGCUACCUUUGUACUAAAAUAAUUUUAACUCCAUCAGAUUCGCCACCAGGUAACUUAAACC
Molecule: long non-coding RNA, 114 nt
Organism: Melanotaenia boesemani (Boeseman's rainbowfish)
Lineage: Eukaryota; Metazoa; Chordata; Actinopteri; Atheriniformes; Melanotaeniidae
Exons: 3
Source: RefSeq, a predicted model, not a curated record